GGAGAUUAAUGAUCCGCUGGAGGGAAGAAAGAGGAACUUGGGGAAUGGAUCUGGGUGUAGUCAGAGCUCGCCUCUCCCUGGGAGCUGCCUUGGUGCUGUAAAGGAUCUCAUGUCUUUUGCCAGCUUUGAUGAAACUUGCUAGUUGGAAAGCAGAGUGAAAUCUCAGGCUCUACAACUCUUGACAUAAAGGACUGACAUCACAGGGCAACUAAGCAACUAGAAUUCCAAAGAAGGACAAGCCCCUCCAAAGACAGGAAGCAUGAGGGCAGGCUCAUCAGUGUCAGAGCAGGGGAGACCAGCACAGACACCUUACAAGCAGCUUGUAGGGGCUAUCCUGAAAUGCCCUUAAUCAUCGGACCUCUAAAAACUUUGCCAAAGUAGCAGGUCCCUGAAGAUUUUAGAGUGUAUCUCCUACGCUCUGAUGCAUAUAAAUCCUACCAGGAAUGACCUUCUGUGGCUACAGAGAAAGGCUUCAGGCAAAGAGAUGCAGCUCUGGGCCCCAGAGUCCGCUGGAGCACACUGAAGCUGGAGCACACUGAAGUGGAAGAUGGGGCUGCAGACAGAGACUGGGCAGCCUCUGCUCCAGGGAGGCCCGAGAGCCAGAGAGCAGAUUCCAUAAGAAGAAUAACUCCCAUUCCUCAUGCAUGAGACCCUCUGCUAAAUGCUUCCUGUGCACCACCUCCAGAAAUCCUCCCAAGCCAGGACACCAGCAGUAUUACAGGAACUGGAUGACAAAAAGAAGAGCCGAUAUAACCAGGAACCUACUCUGGCCACCCCAAGUAAGGAUCUAAAGUCCAGCCUCCUCCUCCACUGCCCUCAAGGCCUUUCCUCAUGAAAGCAGAGGUUCUGAAUGCUGAUUUCUGUUUUAAAGCCCAAUAACUCUU
This 884-nucleotide long non-coding RNA is filed under the name Homo sapiens (human). RNAcentral's name for it is "HSALNT0298908". The record is from RNAcentral. Lineage: Eukaryota; Metazoa; Chordata; Mammalia; Primates; Hominidae.